This 73-nucleotide transfer RNA is filed under the name Zea mays. It matches the Rfam family "tRNA". Rfam says of the family: Transfer RNA (tRNA) molecules are approximately 80 nucleotides in length. Their secondary structure includes four short double-helical elements and three loops (D, anti-codon, and T loops). Further hydrogen bonds mediate the characteristic L-shaped molecular structure. tRNAs have two regions of fundamental functional importance: the anti-codon, which is responsible for specific mRNA codon recognition, and the 3' end, to which the tRNAs corresponding amino acid is attached (by aminoacyl-tRNA synthetases). tRNAs cope with the degeneracy of the genetic code in two manners: having more than one tRNA (with a specific anti-codon) for a particular amino acid; and 'wobble' base-pairing, i.e. permitting non-standard base-pairing at the 3rd anti-codon position. Lineage: Eukaryota; Viridiplantae; Streptophyta; Magnoliopsida; Poales; Poaceae. The record is from Rfam by way of RNAcentral.
ACCUAUCUAGCUCGGUUGGUAAAGCACAAGGCUAUUAACCUUGUGGUUGUGGGUUCGAGCCACACAGUGGGUG